GAGGCUGUUGAACGCAUCAUUCUUCUUGCCGAUCAAGCUGCUGCCUUCCAGUGAAACGAAUACAUUUGUUUAUCAAGGUGCUUGCUAGUGUUCCUUAAUUAAUAUUUUUUUAAUAGGAAGAAGUUUAAAUCGAAAUUUAGCUGUGAAGUGACAACGUUUUGAUGCGUGAUCAGAGAGUAUACUAUUUGUAUCCAAUGAAAUAACGUCAUACUUCUAUGCAAAGGCUGUUGUUCGGCAAGCUCGUUAAUUUGUAUUAAGUCCCGCAUCGAGUAAACAGUGCAUCGAAAUGAAAUUCUUUCUGAUUUACGUGGUUGUGAUGGUAGUGAUGCUGGCGCUGGUGAGCGCAGCUCCCCAGCUCGUCAAAACCAGGCGAAAAUUCCCCGGUCAGCGUCGGCUGGGGGCCACAAACUACGGCCAAUAUUCUAUUGGCAAACGAGGAUACGAAACGAGAAAGUACUGAAGAAGGGAAGAACCACUCAACCUAACCUGACCCAUCUGUCGCCGAUGACUCGUUUCAUCAGCAAGUUUCCUUCGCCGUGUCGUGAAUCCUCCAGAAAGUGAAUGCCUAUAGCUUCAGAGAAAGUGUUUUUUUAUAUUUUUCCAGUUUCAGUUAUAUCUAAUGGAGCAUCGGAUGCGUACAGUGAGAUUGUUUAGUUCACGUCACAAGAAGUCUAAUAUUACAUAGAGUUAAUCAGAUUCCUAAAUUUCUACUCUAAGCUGGGUGGAGGUUACAAGUUAUUUCAAAGACAAAGAGAGUCCAGUGGCUUAUUACGGAGCCCUUACAACGGAGAGAGUCCUGUGGCUUAUUACGGAGCCCCUUACAACGGAGAGAGUCCUGUGGCUUAUUACGGAGCCCCUUACAACGGAGAGAGUCCAGCGGCUUAUUACGGAGCCCCUUACAACGGAGAGAGUCCAGCGGCUUAUUACGGAGCCCCUUACAACGGAGAAAGUCCUGUGGCUUAUUACGGAUGCCCUUAUUACGGCGAGAUGGAUACGGGUGCCGCUAUCACAACGAAUUUUCAUGAUGAGGCUUGUCAUUACAAGAAGAAACGGCAAUUUUACCCGAUUCUGCCAAGUCUUCAGAUACCAAAGUGCAUGCAAUAAACGAACUUAGUACCUAAUUUGUUUAUGAAUUCUGAAUAGCGUGAUCUAUACACCUAAGCCAUUUUCAAAAAAUAAAUUGUUUAAUAUAUAUUGUGCCAGGCAUUAGCGAAAUAUUUAUUAGCGCUUUUAAUUUUUUAUGUUAAUUUUAGUCUGUUAUAUCAAUUACUUUGUUUAUUCAAAUUAAAUUAUUACGUUUAUUACUCGUAAGCUUUUUAAAUAUCAUUGAAAUAACUUCGUUAAUGGUUGAGUUAUUGGUAUGAUCCCAUAAUAACCUGCAGGGCUCAGGAUGUAUUUAGGACAUGCCCAUUGGUUGUAUUUUUGUUGAAGAUCAUUUUAUUUCAGUGUAUAAUUCGAUGCAGCUGAACUAAUGCCAUGCAGUUGAAGCGUAAAAUUUUAUCCUCGUCAGCUGCAAUGAGGUUCGUUCAAAGUUUAUAUUUUCACCUUAACACUUAGAAUUCAAAAUCAAUUUUGGGGGCUUUCAAAGGAAAAUCAGAAGCCUCAUAAAUUUGUUGCAAAUCACUGCUUUUAUAUGAUGAUGUUACUCAUAAUUUUGUAACAAAGCUGACAAAUUGAUUUCAAUAGUUACGAAAUGAAUUAGUAUAUUACAAUAAUUAAACAGUUCUG
Hyalella azteca is the source of this 1728-nucleotide long non-coding RNA. RefSeq lists it as uncharacterized. The transcript has 3 exons. The record is from RefSeq and is a predicted model, not a curated record. NCBI's taxonomy places the organism in Eukaryota, Metazoa, Arthropoda, Malacostraca, Amphipoda, Hyalellidae.